Molecule: ribosomal RNA, 253 nt
Filed under: uncultured bacterium
Lineage: Bacteria
Description: partial 16S ribosomal RNA
Rfam family: Bacterial small subunit ribosomal RNA
Source: RNAcentral
UACGUAGGGUGCGAGCGUUAAUCGGAAUUACUGGGCGUAAAUCGUGCGCAGGCGGUUUUGUAAGCCAGAUGUGAAAUCCCCGGGCUUAACCUGGGAAUGGCAUUUGGGACUGCAAGGCUUGAGUGCGGCAGAGGAGACUGGAAUUCCUGGUGUAGCAGUGAAAUGCGUAGAUAUCUGGAGGAACACCGGUGGCGAAGGCGGCAUUCUGGACCGAUAUUGACGCUGAGGAGCGAAAGCCAGGGGAGCAAACGGG